CCUAAAUUUGCUGAAGUCACAGAAUCAUAGAAUGAUUCAGGUUGGAAAAGACCCUUAAGGUCAUAGAACCGUGUAAUAUUUUGUGUUAAGCGACCCCAAAGAUCCUCUAGCUCCAACCAUUAACCUGACAUUGCCAAUUCUCCCACCAAAUGUCCACUCUCAUGAUCUCACAGAUGAAAUCUGGUGGUUAAAGGGUCUGGUUCUACAUGGGGCACCACAGGCAGGAACCCAUACAGGGCAUCUCAGCAAUUCCCUGGUAAAGAGACCAUUUUUCUGCAUGGAUCAGGAAGAUCCAUUUUCCACCCAGCAAAGAGGGGCCAAUUUCCCUGUUCGCGUGACCUCUUGAAGCAAACUGGUGCCAUGAAGGAAGCAGAAGAAAAUAGCUGAAACUGGGGAGAGAGGCAGCCCUAGAGCGAGCUGGUGCCCUGUGGACUGAGAUAGGCUCUUUGCCUGCUUUGUUAUAAUACUUCAUUGGAACUGACACAUUGAUAGCCACAGUUUUUCUAGGAAGUGACCUUCAUGCUGCCCAUUGAUUCCCAGUGGCCAUCAACUCCUUGCAAUUGGAAUGACAGGCCAGGUUAAAGGUCAGUCCUUAAAUAAAGCUUCUGGAUUACUAAA
Pseudopipra pipra is the source of this 618-nucleotide long non-coding RNA. RefSeq lists it as uncharacterized. The transcript has 3 exons. Lineage: Eukaryota; Metazoa; Chordata; Aves; Passeriformes; Pipridae. The record is from RefSeq and is a predicted model, not a curated record.